CAGCGUUCGCCGGGUGGGAAAAUCAGGCAAGGCGGGAGGCUCUGCACGGUGCUAGGCCUCGACACCCAACACGCCACUCUGAGGCGAGCGAGCACUUCUCCUGUUCUCCCGUUGGGCUCAGAAGCUCGCAGGGGUCGUGCUCGUGACCCACGUGAGCCGGGAGGCCUGCCGGUGGCGUGUCCUCGCCUUCAGCCUCGCCUGCACACCCAACACGCACGCACAGGAACAGAGAAUCUGGAGACUUUCAAACACCGCAUUUGAGGGGCCUCGCUCCCAUGCGAACUAUGCUCCGCUGUGAAGAUGCGGGCCGCCUACUCUCUACUCUAUAGAUAGAGGAUGAAAGAAUCUCUCCAACGUGUGACUUUGGAGCACCCAAACAAAGAUUGCUCUCUCUCUUGGCAAAACUGUACCACUAUAUUUAUUCUCAGGAGGGCAAAGAGGAACACAUUCACAAUCUCUUAAAGCCAACAACCGCAUUUUGAAGUUAGACAAUUUACAUAUAUGAUUGCUAUACAAGCGUCAUCCAUAAGACACAACUGGUUCGAUUACUGCUGAGACCCAGGUUGAGAAUUUUGUUUCAUUACUGGUGGCUAAAACCUGGAUACAGACCCAGGAUCUCAGUGGUGUGAGCUCAGAGUUCUCACUUCCAAGCCGUGAGUCACCCAGCCUCCUCAAAAAUCAUCAUCAUCACGAUCCAUCUGCAGACAGCCCGUAGGUGUGCGUCGGACAUUUCGUCAUUUGUUUCCACUUUCCUCUGUUUUGUGCCAAUUUGCC
Lethenteron reissneri (Far Eastern brook lamprey) is the source of this 774-nucleotide long non-coding RNA. RefSeq lists it as uncharacterized. NCBI's taxonomy places the organism in Eukaryota, Metazoa, Chordata, Hyperoartia, Petromyzontiformes, Petromyzontidae. The record is from RefSeq and is a predicted model, not a curated record.